GAAAUGCGAUAAGUAAUGUGAAUUGCAGAAUUCAGUGAAUCAUCGAAUCUUUGAACGCACAUUGCGCCCGGCAGCAAUCUGCCGGGCAUGCCUGUCCGAGCGUCAUUUCUGCCCUCGAGCGCGGUUCGGCCCCUAGCGGGCCGGCCGCCGCCCGGUGUUGGGGCGCUGCGGGCCCUCGUGCCCGCAGGCCCUGAAAUGAAGUGGCGGUCCCGCCGCGGCGCCCCCUGCGUAGUAGUAAAGCACCUCGCAUCGGGUCCCGGCGGAGGCCAGCCGUCGUACCUCUCUUUUGAUGGUUUGACCUCGGAUCAGGUAGGGUUACCCGCUGAACUUAAGC
Molecule: unclassified non-coding RNA, 334 nt
Filed under: plant metagenome
Description: partial contains 5.8S ribosomal RNA, internal transcribed spacer 2, and large subunit ribosomal RNA
Rfam family: 5.8S ribosomal RNA (bases 1-105)
Source: RNAcentral